RNAcentral lists this ribosomal RNA (433 nucleotides) under uncultured bacterium. Its description in RNAcentral is "partial 16S ribosomal RNA". It matches the Rfam family "Bacterial small subunit ribosomal RNA", at positions 29 to 507 of the family's 1533-position model. The record is from RNAcentral.
AACGAACGCUGGCGGCAUGCCUAACACAUGCAAGUCGAACGAGACCUUCGGGUCUAGUGGCGCACGGGUGCGUAACGCGUGGGAACCUGCCCUUAGGUUCGGAAUAACUCCCCGAAAGGGGUGCUAAUACCGGAUAAUGUCUUCGGACCAAAGAUUUAUCGCCUUUGGAUGGGCCCGCGUUGGAUUAGCUAGUUGGUAGGGUAAAAGCCUACCAAGGCGACGAUCCAUAGCUGGUCUGAGAGGAUGAGCAGCCACACUGGGACUGAGACACGGCCCAGACUACUGCGGGAGGCAGCAGUGGGGAAUAUUGGACAAUGGGCGAAAGCCUGAUCCAGCAAUGCCGCGUGAGUGAUGAAGGCCUUAGGGUUGUAAAGCUCUUUUACCCGGGAUGAUAAUGACAGUACCGGGAGAAUAAGCUCCGGCUAACUCCGUG